Dothidotthia symphoricarpi CBS 119687 is the source of this 85-nucleotide non-coding RNA. The record is from the annotation of a RefSeq genome assembly. NCBI's taxonomy places the organism in Eukaryota, Fungi, Ascomycota, Dothideomycetes, Pleosporales, Dothidotthiaceae.
CUCCCUUUAGUGAAGUGGUUAUCACGUCCGACUGUAAUAUCUGUUGUAUUCGGAAGGCCUCCGCGUUCGACUCCGGGAGGGGAGA